CCUACGGGAGGCAGCAGUGGGGAAUAUUGCACAAUGGGCGAAAGCCUGAUGCAGCAACGCCGCGUGAGCGAUGAAGGCCUUAGGGUCGUAAAACUCUGUCCUCAAGGAAGAUAAUGACGGUACUUGAGGAGGAAGCCCCGGCUAACUAGGUGCCAGCAGCCGCGGUAAUACGUAGGGGGCUCGCGUUAUCCGGAAUUACUGGGCGUAAAGGGUGCGUAGGUGGUUUGUUAAGUCAGAGGUGAAAGGCUUCGGCUCAACCGUAGUAAGCCUGUGAAACUGGGGAUCUUGAGUGGAGGAGAGGAGAGUGGAAUUCGUGGUGUAGCGGUGAAAUGCGUAGAUAUUAGGAGGAACACCAGUUGCGAAGGCAGCUCUCUGGACUGUAACUGACACUGAGGCACGAAAGCGUGGGGAGCGAACAGGAUUAGAUACCCCAGUAGUC
RNAcentral lists this ribosomal RNA (439 nucleotides) under uncultured bacterium. RNAcentral describes it as "partial 16S ribosomal RNA". It matches the Rfam family "Bacterial small subunit ribosomal RNA", at positions 338 to 795 of the family's 1533-position model. The record is from RNAcentral.